AUUGAACGCUGGCGGCAUGCCUUACACAUGCAAGUCGAACGGUAACAGGUCUUCGGAUGCUGACGAGUGGCGAACGGGUGAGUAAUACAUCGGAACGUGCCCGAUCGUGGGGGAUAACGAGGCGAAAGCUUUGCUAAUACCGCAUACGAUCUACGGAUGAAAGCGGGGGAUCUUCGGACCUCGCGCGGACGGAGCGGCCGAUGGCAGAUUAGGUAGUUGGUGGGAUAAAAGCUUACCAAGCCGACGAUCUGUAGCUGGUCUGAGAGGAUGAUCAGCCACACUGGGACUGAGACACGGCCCAGACUCCUACGGUAGGCAGCAGUGGGGAAUUUUGGACAAUGGGCGAAAGCCUGAUCCAGCCAUGCCGCGUGCAGGAUGAAGGCCUUCGGGUUGUAAACUGCUUUUGUACGGAACGAAAAGCCUCUUUCUAAUAAAGAGAGGUCAUGACGGUACCGUAAGAAUAAGCACCGGCUAACUACGUG
Molecule: ribosomal RNA, 482 nt
Filed under: uncultured bacterium
Lineage: Bacteria
Description: partial 16S ribosomal RNA
Rfam family: Bacterial small subunit ribosomal RNA
Source: RNAcentral